CUUGACUUGUAUCCGGACUCCUGACCUGCACUCUGUUUACUUUAUCUCUCCAACCUGUGAUAAAUAGUUUUUACAUUUUGCCCUGAAUUUAGAAAUACCCAAUGUUAACAUGUUCUUUAUUUUUUUGCAAGUUAUAGGGCUAUAAGUUCAAGUAGGACUUCGCAGUUUCAAAAUAUAUCAAUAGUGACAUUGUAACACUUAUCUGUCAAAUUCUGAAUCACACCUUACAUGUACCUAUGUUUUUUAAAGUAGACAACCCAGGAUAUUAAAUAUGAGAU
This is a non-coding RNA of Pelobates cultripes (western spadefoot toad), 278 nucleotides long. NCBI's taxonomy places the organism in Eukaryota, Metazoa, Chordata, Amphibia, Anura, Pelobatidae. The record is from the annotation of a GenBank genome assembly.